Equus caballus (horse) is the source of this 511-nucleotide long non-coding RNA. RefSeq lists it as uncharacterized. The record is from RefSeq and is a predicted model, not a curated record. Lineage: Eukaryota; Metazoa; Chordata; Mammalia; Perissodactyla; Equidae.
CCCAGGGCUGGCUCCCCUCGCUGCAAGCCGGGACUUGCCGGCGGUGUCCCUGAGGGCUCGCAGCCGUAGCUCGAACACGCUGGAACCGACUCCUGCGAACCGGCUCCCUCCUUGAGACAUGCCUCCUUGCCCGGGACGCCGUCUCCCCGGGCUGGGGCGCGCGUGGGCCAGGGCACUUACUAGGCACCAGGUCCUUUGUUUCACGUGGACUCUCACUUAGCCAUCACAGCCACCUGCUGAGGGGCGCUGUUGCCAUCCCCAUUGAACAGAUGAGGAAACGGAGGCCCAGAGAGGAGGAGUAACUUGUCCGAAUCGUGCAGUGUUAAGUGGCGUUGCUGAGACAGAUGGAAUAAUCAGAUCUUCUGGACGUUGUGAAUCUGUAGCCCCAGUCAGGUGCUUGUUGAGUUUAUGCCGGGCCUCCAAAUAUAAAGGAAAGAGCAACAACAAACCCCCCAAAAACAUAUGCACAAUGUUGACAAUAUACUGCGUCAUUAAAAAUUUAGUCUGAAGA